RNAcentral lists this transfer RNA (72 nucleotides) under subsurface metagenome. RNAcentral's name for it is "tRNA-Thr". It matches the Rfam family "tRNA". Rfam says of the family: Transfer RNA (tRNA) molecules are approximately 80 nucleotides in length. Their secondary structure includes four short double-helical elements and three loops (D, anti-codon, and T loops). The record is from RNAcentral.
GCCUGUGUAGCUCAGUGGUAGAGCGACUGCCUUGUAAGCAGUAGGUCGGGGGUUCAAAUCCCUCCGCAGGCU